CUCUCAGGCACAGCAGUGCAAGCGCCAGCUGCGGCCACGUCACUUGCUGGAAUCCUCUCUAAUAGAGAGAUAGAAGCACCGGAAAAACAGUUGUUUAAACUGGGAGGAGUGCUGCUUGGCGCAGAGACGGAGCAGACAACGGUUCGAGGUGGCCCCUCACCUCCCAGGAACUUCGGCGCAGCAAUGGAAAUAGAAGCUGCAGCAACGUCACUCGCUGGAAUCCUCUCUAAGAGAGGGACUGAAGUGCUGGCGAAACAGCUGAUAAAGUUAAUUAAAUUAGGACAGCAAUGGGGUCAUUUUUCUGACACACAUAUGCUGUUUUCUGUCUCGGAAUGGCGAGACUUUGGAGAAACGACGUGGCAUAAAUCAAUCGAGGGGGAUGAAAAAGAGGAGAAGGAGAUAAAAGCCGUCUGCGAGCUGUGGAAUGCUGUGCUAGAGACCUUAACAGCAAUUAAAGCGGAGCGGGAAGUAGCCGGUGCAGCUGCUCAAAUGUUGGGUCCGGGAGCAGCCGCCUUAAAACCUCAAGGCAAGCCUGGAUUUAUUGCGCGGUUCUUCGGACUGCCCACAGUAAAGGCAAUGACCGGGUCCACAUGUAAAACUGUUGCUGAAAUUCGAGCUAAUGAGACCCCUGACUCUCCUGAGGAGGGAAAAGAUUUACCGCUAAACCCCUUGCAAAACUCGGAAAAAGCGGAAGUAAAUGCUGCUAAGUCAAUCCAGAAAAGUAACACACAUGCGGAAGUGCCUGCUGAGAAAACUCCAGCAGAGGAGGGGCCUGAAACACCUACUGAUCUCAUCGAUUUGGGGGGAGCAGCGCCUCAGCCUCCGCCCACGGCACCUCCUCCAGCACCUCCGACUGCCCUGUAUCCACCGCUACCCCCCUUCAGCGAUUCAUCUGGUCCGUCAACUCCGCCUCCCGACAAGAGUCGUAAACUGUCCGCAGACACCACAGAAAAAAAAAUGUUACACACAGUUUCAAGGCGGCUCGAGGAGUUAGACUUACGUGUGGGGAGGAAGGAUGAUAACACACCUUCAUGGCUAGUGAAUCCCUCAACACCUCCAAGAACUACACGCUGGAGUGGCGUUAUUAGAGACGCUAUAUUAGAAGAUCGUGGUCCAGCGUGGGUGCGCAGUAGAGCCAUAAAACCUGCUCUGACUCAACAUGAUCCACCUGACAACCAGGAUGUUCAAGAUCCUAACCCUAGGGAUAUUGAUCCCGGUGGUAAUGACUCUUCACAAAAUUGAGCCCAGAGAAAAUAUGUGGGUUACCUGGGCGAACAAAACAAGACAACAAGCUUUUUGCCUAUUGCUUGCCUCUGCUAUAGAGCUUUUUCAGACAUGUUUGAUAGAAGUAACUGGCUUUAAGGUAGAAGAAUUUAGCAACUAUAGUGUGUACUAUUAGCUCAAAGUCAUGGUUGCGAGGAUUUUGAGGGCAUGUGCUGUAUAAACUUGUCCCAUCACAGCAAAUCAAUU
Molecule: long non-coding RNA, 1470 nt
Filed under: Calidris pugnax (ruff)
Lineage: Eukaryota; Metazoa; Chordata; Aves; Charadriiformes; Scolopacidae
Description: lncRNA (ENSCPUG00000000644.1)
Source: RNAcentral